AUCCAGAUGCAAAGUCUUAAAUAGGACGAAACGCGGGUCCUGGAU
This 45-nucleotide non-coding RNA is filed under the name Schistosoma mansoni. Lineage: Eukaryota; Metazoa; Platyhelminthes; Trematoda; Strigeidida; Schistosomatidae. The record is from RNAcentral.